UAAUUAGUUGCUGUCAUUGAGGGAAGUCCCAUAUGCCUAGGCAAUUCAGGCUGCUGCUGUUGAAGCUUUGGCUGCUGCCCCAGAUGAGACACUGCCCAUUGGAGGUGAUAAAUUUUCUCAUGCAUGCAUUUGAGUUUGGCAAGAAUUUGGAAUCUUAAUGACGGCUUUGGAUUAAUUUUGAGUGGCCAUGCAUGGUGUAGGAAAUGGGUAUCGAGAAGUGGAGGUAUGGUGUUGAGA
RNAcentral lists this long non-coding RNA (237 nucleotides) under Vitis vinifera (wine grape). RNAcentral's name for it is "long non-coding RNA (VVIN_LNC007219)". The record is from RNAcentral. Lineage: Eukaryota; Viridiplantae; Streptophyta; Magnoliopsida; Vitales; Vitaceae.